UACGUAGGGCGCAAGCGUUGUCCGGAAUUAUUGGGCGUAAAGAGCUCGUAGGCGGUUUGUCGCGUCUGCUGUGAAAACCCAAGGCUCAACCUUGGGCUUGCAGUGGGUACGGGCAGACUAGAGUGCGGUAGGGGUGACUGGAAUUCCUGGUGUAGCGGUGAAAUGCGCAGAUAUCAGGAGGAACACCGAUGGCGAAGGCAGGUCUCUGGGCCACGACUGACGCUGAGAAGCGAAAGCAUGGGGAGCGAACAGG
Molecule: ribosomal RNA, 253 nt
Filed under: uncultured bacterium
Lineage: Bacteria
Description: partial 16S ribosomal RNA
Rfam family: Bacterial small subunit ribosomal RNA
Source: RNAcentral